UAUUUUAAGGUGACUCAGCGUUAUAUAUAAAAAAAAAUUGAUGUGGCCUGCACACUGUUGUAAAAACAAAAUUCAUAUUAGGUGGGGCACUUUUCUGGGUAAAGUUAUAAUUUAACUUUCUAAUCUUCAUCUUCUACCAGUUACUGAUGGUGAAAUCUGUCUGGUGGAGCCUUCUGCCAUAAGAGACAUCCAUGCAGUUGAGGAUGAAGACACCUUGUCAGCUGCCACAGAGAGAGAAGAUACAGAGAGGCCUAUUGAGAGCAAUGCUGCAAAUUACAAUGAGGAAGAGGGUCCCUCCACCUCCACAGCAUUGACCCAUGACUUACAAUGAAACUAAGUAGACCUGGCUUUGUGAAAUUCAAUGUCAUUUUUUGUGUUCCUAUAGCUCCCUAUGAAACAGCUGUACAAGGUCUACUUACAGAAACAAAUUGAAAAAUGUAAUUUAGAAAUUGACCACAAGGUUGCAGAUGCAAAAUAUAAAAAUAUAAAUAAAACUGCUAGAACAUCAGUUAAAGGUGGGUGAGGUACCCAC
Molecule: non-coding RNA, 532 nt
Organism: Salmo salar (Atlantic salmon)
Lineage: Eukaryota; Metazoa; Chordata; Actinopteri; Salmoniformes; Salmonidae
Source: RefSeq, a predicted model, not a curated record